GGAUAACUCCGGGAAACCGGGGCUAAUACCGGAUGGUUGUUUGAACCGCAUGGUUCAGACAUAAAAGGUGGCUUCGGCUAUCACUUACAGAUGGACCCGCGGCGCAUUAGCUAGUUGGUGAGGUAACGGCUCACCAAGGCGACGAUGCGUAGCCGACCUGAGAGGGUGAUCGGCCACACUGGGACUGAGACACGGCCCAGACUCCUACGGGAGGCAGCAGUAGGGAAUCUUCCGCAAUGGACGAAAGUCUGACGGAGCAACGCCGCGUGAGUGAUGAAGGUUUUCGGAUCGUAAAGCUCUGUUGUUAGGGAAGAACAAGUGCCGUUCAAAUAGGGCGGCACCUUGACGGUACCUAACCAGAAAGCCACGGCUAACUACGUGCCAGCAGCCGCGGUAAUACGUAGGUGGCAAGCGUUGUCCGGAAUUAUUGGGCGUAAAGGGCUCGCAGGCGGUUUCUUAAGUCUGAUGUGAAAGCCCCCGGCUCAACCGGGGAGGGUCAUUGGAAACUGGGGAACUUGAGUGCAGAAGAGGAGAGUGGAAUUCCACGUGUAGCGGUGAAAUGCGUAGAGAUGUGGAGGAACACCAGUGGCGAAGGCGACUCUCUGGUCUGUAACUGACGCUGAGGAGCGAAAGCGUGGGGAGCGAACAGGAUUAGAUACCCUGGUAGUCCACGCCGUAAACGAUGAGUGCUAAGUGUUAGGGGGUUUCCGCCCCUUAGUGCUGCAGCUAACGCAUUAAGCACUCCGCCUGGGGAGUACGGUCGCAAGACUGAAACUCAAAGGAAUUGACGGGGGCCCGCACAAGCGGUGGAGCAUGUGGUUUAAUUCGAAGCAACGCGAAGAACCUUACCAGGUCUUGACAUCCUCUGACAAUCCUAGAGAUAGGACGUCCCCUUCGGGGGCAGAGUGACAGGUGGUGCAUGGUUGUCGUCAGCUCGUGUCGUGAGAUGUUGGGUUAAGUCCCGCAACGAGCGCAACCCUUGAUCUUAGUUGCCAGCAUUCAGUUGGGCACUCUAAGGUGACUGCCGGUGACAAACCGGAGGAAGGUGGGGAUGACGUCAAAUCAUCAUGCCCCUUAUGACCUGGGCUACACACGUGCUACAAUGGACAGAACAAAGGGCAGCGAAACCGCGAGGUUAAGCCAAUCCCACAAAUCUGUUCUCAGUUCG
RNAcentral lists this ribosomal RNA (1168 nucleotides) under Bacillus amyloliquefaciens. RNAcentral describes it as "bacterial SSU rRNA". It matches the Rfam family "Bacterial small subunit ribosomal RNA", at positions 141 to 1295 of the family's 1533-position model. Lineage: Bacteria; Bacillati; Bacillota; Bacilli; Caryophanales; Bacillaceae. The record is from RNAcentral.